This 22-nucleotide microRNA is filed under the name Blattella germanica (German cockroach). RNAcentral describes it as "Bge-Mir-2001-P1_3p* (star (passenger))". Lineage: Eukaryota; Metazoa; Arthropoda; Insecta; Blattodea; Blattellidae. The record is from RNAcentral.
CUCGUUAUCACGUUCGCAAUUC